Molecule: long non-coding RNA, 160 nt
Organism: Pseudophryne corroboree (corroboree frog)
Lineage: Eukaryota; Metazoa; Chordata; Amphibia; Anura; Myobatrachidae
Exons: 2
Source: RefSeq, a predicted model, not a curated record
AGGAAAAAUGAAGUGGACGGCAUAAGUUUGUGUUGAGCGUACCAAGAUAUCUAUAUACACAAGAAAAGAAUGUAAAGAAGAACAAACUACUUUUUUGUUUUAAUUAACUUUCAAACUUUAUUAAAAAAAUUUUUUCUUCAAUAAACUUUUAAAAAUAGAA